RNAcentral lists this ribosomal RNA (398 nucleotides) under uncultured bacterium. RNAcentral describes it as "bacterial SSU rRNA". It matches the Rfam family "Bacterial small subunit ribosomal RNA", at positions 976 to 1368 of the family's 1533-position model. The record is from RNAcentral.
AAGGUUUGACAUCACCCGGAAAGCUUCAGAGAUGGGGCCCUCUUCGGACUGGGUGACAGGUGGUGCAUGGCUGUCGUCAGCUCGUGUCGUGAGAUGUUGGGUUAAGUCCCGCAACGAGCGCAACCCUUGCUCCAUGUUGCCAGCACGCCCUUCGGGGUGGUGGGGACUCAUGGGGGACUGCCGGGGUCAACUCGGAGGAAGGUGGGGAUGACGUCAAGUCAUCAUGCCCCUUAUGUCUUGGGCUGCAAACAUGCUACAAUGGCCGGUACARAGGGCUGCGAAACCGUGAGGUGGAGCGAAUCCCUAAAAGCCGGUCUCAGUUCGGAUUGGGGUCUGCAACUCGACCCCAUGAAGUCGGAGUCGCUAGUAAUCGCAGAUCAGCAACGCUGCGGUGAAUA